RNAcentral lists this microRNA precursor (148 nucleotides) under Pteropus vampyrus (large flying fox). RNAcentral's name for it is "miRNA (ENSPVAG00000025156.1)". Lineage: Eukaryota; Metazoa; Chordata; Mammalia; Chiroptera; Pteropodidae. The record is from RNAcentral.
CAGAACAUACAGGAAAUGUGAAUUUCACAUAAACAACAAACAACUUUUUUAUAAGUUUAUAAGUAUGCCUGUACAAUAUUUGGGAUAUACUUAUACUAAAAAAUUAUUUGUUGUUUAUCUGAAACUCAAAUUUAACUGUUCUUUCUAU